UUAAUUNGUGGCGACGGGUGAGUAACACGUAAGCAACCUGCCCUUAAGACGAGAAUAACAAUUGGAAACAGUUGCUAAGGCUGGAUAGGAAAUAAAAAGGCAUCUUUUUAUUUUUAAAAGACCUUUUUCGGAAGGUAUGCUUAAAGAGGGGCUUGCGUCACAUUAGUUAGUUGGUAGGGUAAAGGCCUACCAAGACGAUGAUGUGUAGCUGGACUGAGAGGUUGAACAGCCACAUUGGGACUGAGACACGGCCCAAACUCCUACGGGAGGCAGCAGUAGGGAAUUUUCGGCAAUGGAGGAAACUCUGACCGAGCAACGCCGCGUGAACGACGAAGUACUUCGGUAUGUAAAGUUCUUUUAUUGAAGAAGAAACAAUAGUGGAAAAACUAUCUUGACGUUAUUCAAUGAAUAAGCCCCGGCUAACUAUGUGCCAGCAGCCGCGGUAAUACAUAGGGGGCGAGCGUUAUCCGGAAUUAUUGGGCGUAAAGGGUGCGUAGGCGGUUUAAUAAGUCUCUAGUUUAAUUUCAACGCUUAACGUUGUCCUGCUAGAGAAACUGUUUAACUAGAGUGAGAUAGAGGUAAGCGGAAUUCCAUGUGUAGCGGUAAAAUGUGUAAAUAUAUGGAGGAACACCAGAGGCGUAGGCGGCUUACUGGGUCUUUACUGACGCUGAUGCACGAAAGCGUGGGGAGCAAACAGGAUUAGAUACCCUGGUAGUCCACGCCGUAAACUAUGAGUACUAAGUGUCGGGGUUAAACUCGGUACUGAAGUUAACACAUUAAGUACUCCGCCUGAGUAGUACGUACGCAAGUAUGAAACUUAAAGGAAUUGACGGGAUCCCGCACAAGCGGUGGAUCAUGUUGUUUAAUUCGAAGAUACACGAAAAACCUUACCAGGUCUUGACAUACUCUGCAAAGCUAUAGAAAUAUAGUGGAGGUUAUCAGGGAUACAGGUGGUGCAUGGUUGUCGUCAGCUCGUGUCGUGAGAUGUUAGGUUAAGUUCUAAAACGAGCGCAACCCCUGUCGUUAAUUGCCAGCACGUUAUGGUGGGGACUUUAGCGAGACUGCCAAUGAAAAAUUGGAGGAAGGUGGGGAUUACGUCAAAUCAUCGUGCCCCUUAUGAUCUGGGCUACAAACGUGAUACAAUGGCUAUUACAAAGAGUAGCUGAAACGCGAGUUUUUGGCAAAUCUCAAAAAAAUAGUCUCAGUUCGGAUUGAAGUCUACAACUCGACUUCAUGAAGUUGGAAUCGCUAGUAAUCGCGAAUCAGCAUGUCGCGGUGAAUACGUUCUCGGGGUUUGUACCACACCGCCCGUCAAACCACGAAAGUGGACAAUACCCCG
RNAcentral lists this ribosomal RNA (1339 nucleotides) under Lethal yellowing phytoplasma. Its description in RNAcentral is "bacterial SSU rRNA". It matches the Rfam family "Bacterial small subunit ribosomal RNA", at positions 88 to 1424 of the family's 1533-position model. Lineage: Bacteria; Bacillati; Mycoplasmatota; Mollicutes; Acholeplasmatales; Acholeplasmataceae. The record is from RNAcentral.